This 484-nucleotide ribosomal RNA is filed under the name uncultured bacterium. RNAcentral's name for it is "partial 16S ribosomal RNA". It matches the Rfam family "Bacterial small subunit ribosomal RNA", at positions 30 to 507 of the family's 1533-position model. The record is from RNAcentral.
AUUGAACCUUGGCGGCAGGCCUAACACAUGCAAGUCGAGCGGAUGAAGGGAGCUUGCUCCUGGAUUCAGCGGCGGACGGGUGAGUAAUGCCUAGGAAUCUGCCUGGUAGUGGGGGAUAACGUCCGGAAACGGGCGCUAAUACCGCAUACGUCCUGAGGGAGAAAGUGGGGGAUCUUCGGACCUCACGCUAUCAGAUGAGCCUAGGUCGGAUUAGCUAGUUGGUGGGGUAAAGGCCUACCAAGGCGACGAUCCGUAACUGGUCUGAGAGGAUGAUCAGUCACCCUGGAACUGAGACACGGUCCAGAGUCCUGAGGGAGGCAGCAGUGGGGAACAUUGGACAAAGGGCGAAAGCCUGAUACAGCCAUGCCGCGUGUGUGAAGACGGUCUUCGGAUUGUAAAGCACUUUAAGUUGGGAGGAAGGGCAGUAAGUUAAUACCUUGCUGUUUUGACGUUACCAACAGAAUAAGCACCGGCUAACUUCGUG